This is a small nuclear RNA of Eptesicus fuscus (big brown bat), 161 nucleotides long. RefSeq annotates it as U1 spliceosomal RNA. The transcript has a single exon. The record is from RefSeq and is a predicted model, not a curated record. NCBI's taxonomy places the organism in Eukaryota, Metazoa, Chordata, Mammalia, Chiroptera, Vespertilionidae.
AUACUUACUUAUCAGGGAAGAUGCCAUGACCCUAAGAGUUUUCCCAGGGCGAGGCUCACUCAUUGCAUUCUGGGUGUGCCGACACCUGUGAUUUCCCCAAAUGUAGAAAACUCAACUGCGUAAUUUGUGGUAGUGAGGGACUGUGUUUGCACUCUCCCCUG